This 484-nucleotide ribosomal RNA is filed under the name uncultured bacterium. RNAcentral describes it as "partial 16S ribosomal RNA". It matches the Rfam family "Bacterial small subunit ribosomal RNA", at positions 28 to 523 of the family's 1533-position model. The record is from RNAcentral.
GACGAACGCUGGCGGCGUGCUUAACACAUGCAAGUCGAACGGAAAGGCCCUGCUUUUGUGGGGUGCUCGAGUGGCGAACGGGUGAGUAACACGUGAGUAACCUGCCCUUGACUUUGGGAUAACUUCAGGAAACUGGGGCUAAUACCGGAUAGGAGCUCCUGCUGCAUGGUGGGGGUUGGAAAGUUUCGGCGGGUGGGGAUGGACUCGCGGCUUAUCAGCUUGGUGGUGGGGUAGUGGCUUACCAAGGCUUUGACGGGUAGCCGGCCUGAGAGGGUGACCGGGCACAUUGGGACUGAGGUACGGCCUAGACUCCUACGGGAGGCAGCAGUGGGGAAUAUUGCACAAUGGGCGGAAGCCUGAUGCAGCAACGCCGCGUGCGGGAUGACGGCCUUCGGGUUGUAAACCGCUUUCGCCUGUGACGAAGCGUGAGUGACGGUAAUGGGUAAAGAAGCACCGGCUAACUACGUGCCAGCAGCCGCAGUAA